GGCCUCACGGCCGUCGGCGUUGCUGGGAAGUUGACCAAACUUGAUCAUUUAGAGGAAGUAAAAGUCGUAACAAGGUUUCCGUAGGGGAACCUGCGGAAGGAUCGUUAACGUUUUC
RNAcentral lists this ribosomal RNA (115 nucleotides) under Pieris rapae (cabbage white). RNAcentral describes it as "partial 18S ribosomal RNA". It matches the Rfam family "Eukaryotic small subunit ribosomal RNA", at positions 1726 to 1831 of the family's 1831-position model. The record is from RNAcentral. Lineage: Eukaryota; Metazoa; Arthropoda; Insecta; Lepidoptera; Pieridae.